UGCGCAGGCGGAAGAUUAAGUCAGAGGUGAAAGCCCGGGGCUCAACUCCGGAAUUGCCUUUGAAACUGGGAGACUUGAACACGGGAGAGGUGAGUGGAAUUCCGAGUGUAGAGGUGAAAUUCGUAGAUAUUCGGAGGAACACCAGUGGCGAAGGCGGCUCACUGGACCGUUGUUGACGCUGAGGUGCGAAAGCGUGGGGAGCAAACAGGAUUAGAUACCCCCGUA
RNAcentral lists this ribosomal RNA (225 nucleotides) under uncultured Sandaracinobacter sp. RNAcentral describes it as "partial 16S ribosomal RNA". It matches the Rfam family "Bacterial small subunit ribosomal RNA", at positions 568 to 792 of the family's 1533-position model. The record is from RNAcentral. Lineage: Bacteria; Pseudomonadati; Pseudomonadota; Alphaproteobacteria; Sphingomonadales; Sphingosinicellaceae.